CCUACGGGUGGCAGCAGUGAGGAAUAUUGGUCAAUGGACGAGAGUCUGAACCAGCCAAGUAGCGUGAAGGAUGACUGCCCUAUGGGUUGUAAACUUCUUUUAUAUGGGAAUAAAAUGUUCCACGUGUGGGAUUUUGUAUGUACCAUAUUAAUAAGGAUCGGCUAACUCCGUGCCAGCAGCCGCGGUACUACGGAGGAUCCGAGCGUUAUCCGGAUUUAUUGGGUUUAAAGGGAGCGUAGGUGGAUUGUUAAGUCAGUUGUGAAAGUUUGCGGCUCAAACGUAAAAUUGCAGUUGAAACUGGCAGUCUUGAGUACAGUAGAGGUGUGCGGAAUUCGUGGUGUAGCGGUGAAAUGCUUAGAUAUCACGAAGAACUCCGAUGGCGAAGGCAGUUCACUGGACUGCAACUGACACUGAGGCUCGAAAGUGUGGGUAUCAAACAGGAUUAGAUACCCUUGUAGUC
Molecule: ribosomal RNA, 460 nt
Filed under: uncultured bacterium
Lineage: Bacteria
Description: partial 16S ribosomal RNA
Rfam family: Bacterial small subunit ribosomal RNA
Source: RNAcentral